GACGAACGCUGGCGGCGUGCUUAACACAUGCAAGUCGAACGGAAAGGCCCUGCUUUUGUGGGGUGCUCGAGUGGCGAACGGGUGAGUAACACGUUAGUAACCUGCCCUUGACUUUGGGAUAACUUCAGGAAACUGGGGCUAAUACCGGAUAGGAGCUCCUGCUGCAUGGUGGGGGUUGGAAAGUUUCGGCGGUUGGGGAUGGACUCGCGGCUUAUCAGCUUGUUGGUGGGGUAGUGGCUUACCAAGGCUUUGACGGGUAGCCGGCAUGAGAGGGUGACCGGCCACAAUGGGACUGAGAUACGGACCAGACUCCUACGGGAGGCAGCAGUGGGGAAUCUUGCACAAUGGGCGGAAGCCUGAUGCAGCAACGCCGCGUGCGGGAUGACGGCUUUCGGGUUAUAAACCAAUUUCGCCUGUGACGAAGCGUGAGUGACGGUAAUGGGUAAAGAAGCACCGGCUAACUACGUG
RNAcentral lists this ribosomal RNA (468 nucleotides) under uncultured bacterium. RNAcentral's name for it is "partial 16S ribosomal RNA". It matches the Rfam family "Bacterial small subunit ribosomal RNA", at positions 28 to 507 of the family's 1533-position model. The record is from RNAcentral.